AUGCUUGCCUGUGCACAUGUGAAUGCAUGUAUGUGUGCAUACUCACACAGUAGUUUUAACUUAAAUAUUUUUCUUUAACAAAAUACAGAGAGUUCAUUGACUGUAGAUAAAACUUGAGCACCAUAUAAAUCUAGGAGAAAAAGAGCUUUGAAGAAAUGCUUCACCUUUUCCCCAGGAGUCAACUCAGUGACCCAACCUGCUUCUGAUGGGAGAGGACGUAUUCAUCACCACACACCUCCGCUAAUUUCCCAGCAAGUAAUUGACAACAUUAUUGAGGGAACUUCAUGAAGCUCACUGCAGAUCAAAACAAACCUUGUAUGCUCUGACAGCAUUAAACCCC
RNAcentral lists this long non-coding RNA (340 nucleotides) under Anas platyrhynchos platyrhynchos (common mallard). Its description in RNAcentral is "lncRNA (ENSAPLG00000030622.1)". The record is from RNAcentral. Lineage: Eukaryota; Metazoa; Chordata; Aves; Anseriformes; Anatidae.